Molecule: ribosomal RNA, 462 nt
Filed under: uncultured bacterium
Lineage: Bacteria
Description: partial 16S ribosomal RNA
Rfam family: Bacterial small subunit ribosomal RNA
Source: RNAcentral
GAUCAACGCUGGCGGCGUGCUUAACACAUGCAAGUCGAACGAAGUUUUUCCUUCGGGCGCAACUUAGUGGCGGACGGGUGAGUAACGCGUGGGUAACCUGCCCUGUACAGGGGGACAACAGCUGGAAACGGCUGCUAAUACCGCAUAAGCCCUUAGCACUGCAUGGUGCAUAGGGAAAAGGAGCAAUCCGGUACAGGAUGGACCCGCGUCUGAUUAGCCAGUUGGCAGGGUAACGGCCUACCAAAGCGACGAUCAGUAGCCGAUCUGAGAGGAUGUACGGCCACAUUGGGACUGAGACACGGCCCAGACUCCUACGGGAGGCAGCAGUGGGGAAUAUUGCACAAUGGAGGAAACUCUGAUGCAGCGACGCCGCGUGAGUGAAGAAGUAUUUCGGUAUGUAAAGCUCUAUCAGCAGGGAAGAAAAUGACGGUACCUGACGAAGAAGCACCGGCUAAAUACGUG